Molecule: long non-coding RNA, 697 nt
Organism: Ictalurus punctatus (channel catfish)
Lineage: Eukaryota; Metazoa; Chordata; Actinopteri; Siluriformes; Ictaluridae
Source: Ensembl
GGUAUGUCUAGUGGAUACCAUUAAGGACCAAUAAUGGUAAUGGUUUUAAUGGUUAGCUGAUGGUUUGUAAUGGUAUUUGUAGUGGUGGAAACCAUUAGAAUUUCUGUGAUUUCUAUUGUUUGGAUGUUGUUUUUUCAGUAGAGAUAUUAUUGAUCAAUAGCUUAAAAUCGCAGAAUUGUCAGACAGCAUUAUGUAUAAAUGCUUGUUGUUUACAGUGUGGUUUAAUUUAUUGAUGAGUGUCAAAUAAAAGGAAAAAGUACAUCUACUCAGGACAUCCACAUAUACCUCGUACAUCCGCUCAGUACAUACUCAUAUACCAUCACAUCUCAGUAAGUACUCAUAUACCCAUCACAUCUGCUCUCAUACUACUCAUAUACCAUCACAUCCGCUCAGUAAGUACUCAUAUACCAUCACAUCCGCUCAGUACGUACUCAUAUACCCAUCACAUCCGCUCAGUACGUACUCAUAUACCCAUCACAUCCGCUCAGUACGUACUCAUAUACCAUCACAUCCGCUCAGUACGUACUCAUAUACCAUCACAUCCGCUCAGUACAUACUCAUAUACCAUCACAUCCGCUCAGUACAUACUCAUAUACCAUCACAUCCGCUCAGUACAUACUCAUAUGCCCAUCACAUCCGCUCAGUACAUACUCAUAUACCAUCACAUCCGCUCAGUACAAAAAUAUAAACAAACGCA